AAGGAGUUAGUUAAAAUAUAACAUUAGAAUGUCAAUCUAAAAUAACUAUAUACUAGUACACCUUG
RNAcentral lists this transfer RNA (65 nucleotides) under Bryodemella tuberculata diluta. RNAcentral describes it as "tRNA-Asp". Lineage: Eukaryota; Metazoa; Arthropoda; Insecta; Orthoptera; Acrididae. RNAcentral also lists the same sequence under 11 other names. The record is from RNAcentral.